AACCUUUUCUAAUAACAAAACACCAAUGACUUUCUGAUGAAUUUUAUUUAUUUAUUUAUUUAUUUUUGUGAAAAAUGACUUCCAUCGUACCAAAUACAUCGAAAAUUAUUCGAAAGCUUUCUUGAAUACCAUGUAUAUCAGCAACAGCCUCCAUAGCUUUCUGCUUAGUUUUUUCGUCGCUCAUUGUCAUAAUCUUUACCACCAACUUUUGCUAUAUAAGAUUUCCAAUAUUUACAUUAAAAAAAAAAUUAAGCAAUAGAAUUUGUAAACUAAGAAAAAAAGGAAACAAACAACAAAUAGAGUAAUAACUUAUAAUAAGAAUGCUUUAUAUAAAACCUGUCCCAUUUGAAGUAUCUUUGAUUGAUAGCGUGUUGGAAUUAAUAGGAACAAGUUGUGUGCGAGCCUUGAAAAUGAAAAAACUCUUGAUGUGGAGCGUUUUCUCCUUUAAUAGUUCUACACGAUAGGAAUUCAGAUUAGUCAGGAUGAUAGGAUUCGUAUAGAACGUAGGGAGGAACAAGAAAGCGUCGAUUUAGCAAGUCGCCUAGUUUAUUAAGAAAGAUUUUCUAUUCUAUAUGGUGCAAUUCUCCUAUAACUUGACCAUAUAACUCAAGUUUUGGAAGAAAUGUUAAGUAGAGGGGUUGAUUUGGGGAAGAAGCAGAUGGAUUAAGGCUUUUAUAAAGUGUAAAAAUUGAUAAUUAUUAUGCAUGGCUUGAUUAACUAAAAAAUAAGUAUGGCAUUUUCCCUGACUUAAUAUUAAU
RNAcentral lists this long non-coding RNA (758 nucleotides) under Nicotiana tabacum (common tobacco). Its description in RNAcentral is "long non-coding RNA (NTAB_LNC013989)". The record is from RNAcentral. Lineage: Eukaryota; Viridiplantae; Streptophyta; Magnoliopsida; Solanales; Solanaceae.